GAUGAAGUGUCUGAAAAAGAAUUAUUUUGAUAGAAUAAAGAAUGUAAUAAACUUACCUUCAUCC
Molecule: transfer RNA, 64 nt
Filed under: Metoecus cf. javanus JL-2021a
Lineage: Eukaryota; Metazoa; Arthropoda; Insecta; Coleoptera; Ripiphoridae
Description: tRNA-Ile
Source: RNAcentral